Molecule: ribosomal RNA, 474 nt
Filed under: uncultured bacterium
Lineage: Bacteria
Description: bacterial SSU rRNA
Rfam family: Bacterial small subunit ribosomal RNA
Source: RNAcentral
CUGGCGGCGUGCCUAACACAUGCAAGUCGAACGAAGCUUGACGGAUGAUUUCUUCGGAAUGAAACCUGAUAUGACUUAGUGGCGGACGGGUGAGUAACACGUGAGCAACCUGCCUUUCAGAGGGGGAUAACGGCUGGAAACGGUCGCUAAUACCGCAUGAUGUGUUCGGAUGGCAUCAUCUGAACAUCAAAGAUUUAUCGCUGAAAGAUGGGCUCGCGUCUGAUUAGAUAGUUGGUGGGGUAACGGCCUACCAAGUCGACGAUCAGUAGCCGGACUGAGAGGUUGAACGGCCACAUUGGGACUGAGAUACGGCCCAGACUCCUACGGGAGGCAGCAGUGGGGAAUAUUGCACAAUGGGGGAAACCCUGAUGCAGCGACGCCGCGUGAGCGAAGAAGUAUUUCGGUAUGUAAAGCUCUAUCAGCAGGGAAGAAAAAAUGACGGUACCUGACUAAGAAGCCCCGGCUAACUACGUG